RNAcentral lists this ribosomal RNA (423 nucleotides) under Acanthamoeba genotype T4. Its description in RNAcentral is "SSU rRNA". It matches the Rfam family "Eukaryotic small subunit ribosomal RNA", at positions 778 to 1096 of the family's 1831-position model. Lineage: Eukaryota; Discosea; Longamoebia; Acanthamoebidae. The record is from RNAcentral.
AAGCAGGCAGAUCCAUUUUCUGCCACCGAAUACAUUAGCAUGGGAUAAUGGAAUAGGACCCUGUCCUCCUAUUUUCAGUUGGUUUUGGCAGCGCGAGGACUAGGGUAAUGAUUAAUAGGGAUAGUUGGGGGCAUUAAUAUUUAAUUGUCAGAGGUGAAAUUCUUGGAUUUAUGAAAGAUUAACUUCUGCGAAAGCAUCUGCCAAGGAUGUUUUCAUUAAUCAAGAACGAAAGUUAGGGGAUCGAAGACGAUCAGAUACCGUCGUAGUCUUAACCAUAAACGAUGCCGACCAGCGAUUAGGAGACGUUGAAUACAAAACACCACCAUCGGUGCGGUCAUCCUUGGCGUUGGUCUUCAAAAGCCAGCGCGGGGGUGGCUUAGCCCGGUGGCACCGGUGAAUGACUCCCCUAGCAGCUUGUGAGAA